UUGACCUCGGAUCAAGGUAGGGAUACCCGCUGAACUUAA
RNAcentral lists this ribosomal RNA (39 nucleotides) under Micarea cinerea. Its description in RNAcentral is "partial 28S ribosomal RNA". Lineage: Eukaryota; Fungi; Ascomycota; Lecanoromycetes; Lecanorales; Micareaceae. The record is from RNAcentral.